This 460-nucleotide ribosomal RNA is filed under the name uncultured bacterium. RNAcentral describes it as "partial 16S ribosomal RNA". It matches the Rfam family "Bacterial small subunit ribosomal RNA", at positions 338 to 795 of the family's 1533-position model. The record is from RNAcentral.
CCUAUGGGUGGCAGCAGUGAGGAAUAUUGGUCAAUGGGCGGAAGCCUGAACCAGCCAAGUAGCGUGCAGGCUGACGGCCCUACGGGUUGUAAACUGCUUUUAUACGGGAAUAACGCGCCUUAAGUGUAGGGCUUUGCAUGUACCGGAUGAAUAAGGACCGGCUAAUUCCGUGCCGUCAGCCGCGGUAAUACGGAAGGUCCGGGCGUGAUCCGGAUUUAUUGGGUUUACAGGGAGCGUAGGCCGCAUGUCAAGCGUGCUGUGAAAUGUCCGGGAUAAACCCGGGCCUUGCAGCGCGAACUGGAGUGCUUGAGUCCGCGGAAGGCAGGCGGAAUUCGUCGUGUAGCGGUGAAAUGCUUAGAUAUGACGAAGAACCCCGAUUGCGAAGGCAGCUUGCUGCAGCGGAACUGACGCUGAUGCUCGAAAGCGCGGGUAUCGAACAGGAUUAGAUACCCCUGUAGUC